This 402-nucleotide ribosomal RNA is filed under the name uncultured bacterium. Its description in RNAcentral is "partial 16S ribosomal RNA". It matches the Rfam family "Archaeal small subunit ribosomal RNA", at positions 473 to 873 of the family's 1478-position model. The record is from RNAcentral.
ACACCGGCAGCCCAAGUGGUGGCCAUUUUUAUUGGGCAUAAAGCGUUCGUAGCCGGCCUGAUAAGUCUCUGGUGAAAUCCCGCAGCUUAACUGUGGGAAUUGCUGGAACUACUAUCAUGACUCGAGGUCGGGAGAGGCUGGAGGUACUCCCAGGGGAGGGGUGCAAUCCUGUAAUCCUGGGAGGACCACCUGUGGCGAAGGCGUCCAGCUGGAACGAACCUGACGGUGAGGGACGAAAGCCAGGGGCGCGAACCGGAUUAGAUACCCGGGUAGUCCUGGCCGUAAACGAUGUGGACUUGGUGUUGGGAUGGCUUCGAGCUGCCCCAGUGCCGAAGGGAAGCUGUUAAGUCCACCGCCUGGGAAGUACGGCCGCAAGGCUGAAACUUAAAGGAAUUGGCGGGG